GUGCUCACUUUGGCAGCACAUAUACUAUAAUUCGAAUGAUAUAGAGAUUAGCAUGGCCCCUGUGCAAGGAUAACAUGAAAAUUUGUGAAGUAUUCACAUUAAAA
This is a small nuclear RNA of Cervus hanglu yarkandensis (Yarkand deer), 104 nucleotides long. The record is from Ensembl. Lineage: Eukaryota; Metazoa; Chordata; Mammalia; Artiodactyla; Cervidae.